UUAUUUAUUUAGUGGAAGAUUAGAUUUCAAAUCUUUUACUCAGAAAAAAUUAGGGUGCUCAAAGCACACUUUAUAAAAAUUAUUUCUUUUCUUUUUAUCGGGAAUAAAAAAUAAAGUCACUGAAUAGAUUAGCACGGGAUAAUAGAAUAAGAUCACAAUUUUAUUUUGAUUUGGUUUUCUAAAGUUGUGGUAAUGAUAAAUAGGAACAAUCGGGGGCAUUAGUAUUCAGUUGUCAGAAGUGAAAUUCUUGGAUUCUCUGAAGACUAACAUAGGCGAAAGCAUUUGUCAAGGGUGUUUUCUUUAAUCAAGAACGAAAGUUUGGGGAUCGAAGAUGAUCAGAGACCGUCGUAGUCCAAACCAUAAACUAUGCCGACCAGUAAUCCAGAUUUGUUACUAAAAAGUCUUUUUUAUUCUUUACUGAAUAAGGGGCUUUUGGAAGACAAUCCGGGCGAUUUGUGAGAAAUCAUAAGUUUUUGGGUCCCGGGGGGAGUAUGGUCGCAAGGCUGAAACUUAAAGGAAUUGACGGAAGGGCACCCCACGGCGUGGAGCGUGCGGCUUAAUUUGACUCAACACGGGAAAACUCACCAGGUCCCGACAUAGUUAGGAUUGACAGAUUAAGAGCUCUUUCUUGAUUCUAUGGGUGGUGGUGCAUGGCCGUUCUUAGUUCGUGGAAUGAUCUGUCUGGUUGAUUCCGAUAACGAGCGAGACCCCUGCCUGCUAACUAGUCGUAUUAUCUUUUUUUAAACCAAAAGAUAAUAUCUUUUCAUCUUAUUU
RNAcentral lists this ribosomal RNA (774 nucleotides) under uncultured eukaryote. RNAcentral's name for it is "partial 18S ribosomal RNA". It matches the Rfam family "Eukaryotic small subunit ribosomal RNA", at positions 717 to 1410 of the family's 1831-position model. The record is from RNAcentral.